Molecule: ribosomal RNA, 490 nt
Filed under: uncultured bacterium
Lineage: Bacteria
Description: bacterial SSU rRNA
Rfam family: Bacterial small subunit ribosomal RNA
Source: RNAcentral
AUUGAACGCUGGCGGCAGGCCUAACACAUGCAAGUCGAGCGGAAACGAGUUAUCUGAACCUUCGGGGGACGAUAACGGCGUCGAGCGGCGGACGGGUGAGUAAUGCCUAGGAAAUUGCCCUGAUGUGGGGGAUAACCAUUGGAAACGAUGGCUAAUACCGCAUAAUGCCUACGGGCCAAAGAGGGGGGACCUUCGGGCCUCUCGCGUCAGGAUAUGCCUAGGUGGGAUUAGCUAGUUGGUGAGGUAAUGGCUCACCAAGGCGACGAUCCCUAGCUGGUCUGAGAGGAUGAUCAGCCACACUGGAACUGAGACACGGUCCAGACUCCUACGGGAGGCAGCAGUGGGGAAUAUUGCACAAUGGGCGCAAGCCUGAUGCAGCCAUGCCGCGUGUGUGAAGAACGGCCUUUCGGGUUGUUAAAGCGACUUUUCAGUCGUGAGGAAGGUGGUGUAGUUAAUAGCUGCAUUCUUGACGUUUAGCGACAGAAGAAGC